This 127-nucleotide small RNA is filed under the name Marmota monax (woodchuck). Lineage: Eukaryota; Metazoa; Chordata; Mammalia; Rodentia; Sciuridae. The record is from RNAcentral.
GCUGGGUGCAGUGGCGCACGCCUGUAAUCCCAAUAGCUCAGGAAGCUGAGGCAGGAGGAUCGUGAGUUCAAAGCCAGUCUCGGUAACUUAGUGAGGCCUUAAGCAACUCAGUGAGACCCUGUCUCUA